AUAGCAUGAGGUCAACAGAAGGGGUGACAAGUGAAUUCAUAAUUUGAUCAUUGAACCAUGAACUCUUUGAAUUGGCAACAGAAAGUGUCCCAGGACAGUAGUCCUCAAAUUUACGAUGGUAAUUUGUUUUAAUUGAAAUUGGUUGGUUAUAUCAAUGAAAUCAGUUUGCAAUGGCAGGAGGCAUAUAGUUCUAGUCAAGGGCCCAACAUGGAUAAAUGCCAAAACAAU
This 228-nucleotide unclassified non-coding RNA is filed under the name Hevea brasiliensis (rubber tree). Lineage: Eukaryota; Viridiplantae; Streptophyta; Magnoliopsida; Malpighiales; Euphorbiaceae. The record is from RNAcentral.